CCCUCCACCCUCCCUCCCCAAACUCACCUCAGUUGCCAAAGCCUCCCGGUGCCUGUUGGACAAUCCCUUGCUGGUUCUUCCAUCUGUGGGCCUAGUUUCCAGGGGCUGAGUGACCAGGGUCUUAAAACAGGUUUAAGACUUGGCUUGCUGGCCCUGGAGAUCCCAUCGCCGUCUUCGUCGAACUCGAACUCCUAGCCGUCGUGCUUCCCUGGCCUGUCGCGUCUUCCUGUGCCAUUUGCCGUUGUACUCAGGUUCCACGAGCUGCCCAUCUCCACAGAAGAGCAGCUGGCAUUGCCCUCCGGCCAUGCUGGCUGAAGAAAAGAAGACUGAGGACCCCAGGACGUCCAGCGCGAGGACCCCAGGAAGCUCAGCGCGAGGACCCCAGGAAGCUCAGCGCGAGGACCCCACCCACAAUGCCCAGCGCGAGGACCUCACGCACAACACGUUGCAACCCUUCUGGAUUAGGCCAAAGCCAUCAUCUGGAAUCCUGCGUGGGACCCUGGACACACGGACACAGACACCUGCCCCUGGGACCCUCCAACUGUAAAUUGAUUGGAAGCGCCCUUGUGAGCUGGGGCCUUCAAAGGGCUGAGGAGAAAAUGCAGGCCGAGAGACCAGCUUCUCAAAUAGGCUUCAAGCCUCCAUGACCUGAGCUCACCCCCUGGAAAUGUCUGGAAAACAUAAUGGGCAGGUUUUCUGUCUUCAAAGUUUCCA
This 714-nucleotide long non-coding RNA is filed under the name Mus pahari (shrew mouse). RNAcentral's name for it is "lncRNA (MGP_PahariEiJ_G0006358.1)". The record is from RNAcentral. Lineage: Eukaryota; Metazoa; Chordata; Mammalia; Rodentia; Muridae.